CCUACGGGAGGCAGCAGUGGGGAAUUUUGGACAAUGGGCGAAAGCCUGAUCCAGCCAUGCCGCGUGAGUGAAGAAGGCCUUCGGGUUGUAAAGCUCUUUCAGUCGGAAAGAAACGAUUGUGAUUAAUACUCACAAUUAAUGACGGUACCGACAGAAGAAGCACCGGCUAACUACGUGCCAGCAGCCGCGGUAAUACGUAGGGUGCGAGCGUUAAUCGGAAUUACUGGGCGUAAAGGGUGCGCAGGCGGUCUUGUAAGUCAGAUGUGAAAUCCCCGGGCUUAACCUGGGAAUUGCGUUUGAAACUGCAAGGCUAGAGUGCAGCAGAGGGGAGUGGAAUUCCACGUGUAGCAGUGAAAUGCGUAGAGAUGUGGAAGAACACCGAUGGCGAAGGCAGCUCCCUGGGCUGACACUGACGCUCAUGCACGAAAGCGUGGGGAGCAAACAGGAUUAGAUACCCUGGUAGUCCACGCCCUAAACGAUGUCAACUAGUUGUCGGAUCUAAUUAAGGAUUUGGUAACGUAGCUAACGCGUGAAGUUGACCGCCUGGGGAGUACGGUCGCAAGAUUAAAACUCAAAUGAAUUGACGGGGA
This 590-nucleotide ribosomal RNA is filed under the name uncultured bacterium. RNAcentral describes it as "bacterial SSU rRNA". It matches the Rfam family "Bacterial small subunit ribosomal RNA", at positions 338 to 919 of the family's 1533-position model. The record is from RNAcentral.